This 27-nucleotide non-coding RNA is filed under the name Macaca fascicularis (crab-eating macaque). RNAcentral also lists the same sequence under 1 other name. Lineage: Eukaryota; Metazoa; Chordata; Mammalia; Primates; Cercopithecidae. The record is from RNAcentral.
UGGACCUGAACAUAAGAGAUGCGAAGA